Peromyscus maniculatus bairdii (prairie deer mouse) is the source of this 1074-nucleotide non-coding RNA. The record is from RefSeq and is a predicted model, not a curated record. Lineage: Eukaryota; Metazoa; Chordata; Mammalia; Rodentia; Cricetidae.
CAGAAGCAUUUUCUCAUAGGUGCCUGGCCAUAUCCCUAGUCUUGGAACCCAAGAAUUCCUGACCUGAGUAUGUGCACACUUACCAUGAGUGACAUGGAGGGAAAAGAGCACCUCUCACCUCCCCUACUUUGCAGACCAGCAUGGCAUUGUCGGAGCUCCAGAGAAACUCAGAGAUUCCACACAGCAACAGGAUGACAUGCUGUGGAGGACAAUGACAUGGUUUCUCUUCCACCAUCCAACUACAGACAAGGACUCCAAAUUAACAACAAGAACUAUGGAAUCUACAGGAGUGGCCCCUUGUGAAAGCCUCCACUUGGUUAAUCCAGAAAACCUGUCUGACCAUGUACAGAGGUCAGAGGAGCCUUGGGAAUUAAAUGUGCUUCCUUUCCUGAACUCUUGAGUGGAUACAUGAGAAGGGCAGUAUCCAUUAACCACCUGUCCCAGGCCUCCACUAACAUGAAGAAGGAGAACUUGAGGUCAUACCCUCGGCCCAUCUUUCACUGGUAUUAGGCAGAGACAAUUUUCAAACAAAUACUGACGCACUAAAUUAGAAUAACAACAUAAUUUCUCUAAACUGGCAUUCAGAAUGUUUGACCCCUGGAGGAGGGAAAUCUGAAGCUAUAUGAGCUCUCAGGUUCUACCAGCUGUUAUUCUAAAGGUAACAGAUGUUUGCACUUCAUCUAUACACUCAGCAAAUUCCAGUCUGAUGCUCAAACACAAGAUGUAAAAACCAACAGGACCUAAACCUAGAAGAGAGGCCAGAGGACAGGAGAGAUUCCUGCAGACCAUCAUCUUCUUCUUCAGGACUUCCCACCAAGUCUCAAAGAUCCACAAAGGGCUAUAGGGAAGUAAUGGAGACAGGACACAUGGAACAGAACAGAAAGUUCUGUAACAGACCCAGUGAAAUGCUGCCAGCUGAUGUUCUCAUAGUCAACCACGGAAAUCAAGGCAGAGAGAGUGGCUUGUCCACAAAUGACUGCAGAAGAAGAUUUAAAAACAAGAAUAAGGAACCCCUUUUAAAAACAAGAAACAUGGGCUGGAGAGAUGGCUCAGCCGUUAAAGGCUAGACUCACA